CGGACUGGAGUCUGCAACCCGACUCCACGAAGUUGGAUUCGCUAGUAAUCGCGCAUCAGCCAUGGCGCGGUGAAUACGUUCCCGGGCCUUGUACACACCGCCCGUCAAGCCAUGGGAGCCGGGGCGCCUGAAGUCCGGGACCGCGAGGACCGGCCUAGGGCGAAACGUGGUAACUGGGGCUAAGUCGUAACAAGGUACC
Molecule: ribosomal RNA, 199 nt
Filed under: uncultured bacterium
Lineage: Bacteria
Description: partial 16S ribosomal RNA
Rfam family: Bacterial small subunit ribosomal RNA
Source: RNAcentral